UACGGAGGAUCCAAGCGUUGUCCGGAUUUAUUGGGUUUAAAGGGUGCGUAGGCGGAUUUUUAAGUCAGUGGUGAAAGCCUGUAGCUCAACUACAGAAUUGCCAUUGAAACUGAAAGUCUUGAAUACGGUUGAGGUAAAUGGAAUGUGUCAUGUAGCGGUGAAAUGCUUAGAUAUGAUACAGAACACCAAUUGCGAAGGCAGUUUACUAAACCGUUAUUGACGCUGAGGCACGAAAGCGUGGGGAGCGAACAGG
Molecule: ribosomal RNA, 253 nt
Filed under: uncultured bacterium
Lineage: Bacteria
Description: partial 16S ribosomal RNA
Rfam family: Bacterial small subunit ribosomal RNA
Source: RNAcentral